RNAcentral lists this long non-coding RNA (667 nucleotides) under Brassica napus (rape). RNAcentral's name for it is "long non-coding RNA (BNAP_LNC011770)". The record is from RNAcentral. Lineage: Eukaryota; Viridiplantae; Streptophyta; Magnoliopsida; Brassicales; Brassicaceae.
UGCUGAUAUGUUCUUUUUAAUGGCAGUUUUACCCUUACCUUUCCUAUAACACAACUCUCUCUCUAUAUCUCUCCCCUCUCUCCUAAUUCAUUUGUCCUCUCUUUUACAUAAUUUUUGUCUCCAUCGUUUGUAUGUUCUCCAGUCUGUGUCCAAUGACUUUUUAGUCUUGGCGUUGUGUCUUUUUAUGUUUUCCUUUUGUUUCUUUGUUCCGGUAGAUCCGGUUCUUCUUUUGUUAGAUUUUUGGUCCUAUCUUGUAGAUCUACGGUUAUCUGAAUAUUUGAAGGUUUUAUCCUCCCAUGGCCGAGAUUUGUAUUAAUCUUCAUCCUUGGAUCCACUAAAGUUUUGCGAUGAAAGCUUCUUGCCUUCUCCAGCUUCCCCUUUUAGACUCUUGGGUCAACUUCAGGAUUCUCCGAUGAUUUGAAGUCAUAGAUGCAUGAACGAAGUAUGGUUGUGUUUGGUCUUUGUUGGCCUUGGUUCUGUAGAAGAGUGAGACUUGCACAAGGAAACUGUGUGUUUUACAUCGACCUCAUAACUUUUGGGAGAAGGAAGUAAUGGUGUAAAGCUCUUCGUCUUUCUUCUUCUGUCUUUUUCAAAUGACUGCUAAUAAAAUAAUUAGCUCAACAUAAAAAGUUUUAUCCAACUAACAAUCAUAGUGUCUGGAUAAUUA